UACGAAUGGGGCAAGCGUUGUUCGGAAUCACUGGGCUUAAAGCGUGCGCAGGCGGCCAAGCAAGUCAGAAGUGAAAUCCCUGGGCUCAACCCAGGAAUUGCUUUUGAAACUGCUCGGCUAGAAUCCCGGAGAGGUUAGUAGAAUUCCGAGUGUAGAGGUGAAAUUCGCAGAUAUUCGGAGGAAUACCAGUGGCGUAAGCGACUAACUGGACGGGCAUUGACGCUCAGGCACGAAAGCAUGGGGAGCAAACAGG
Molecule: ribosomal RNA, 253 nt
Filed under: uncultured bacterium
Lineage: Bacteria
Description: partial 16S ribosomal RNA
Rfam family: Bacterial small subunit ribosomal RNA
Source: RNAcentral